GCGGAAACGAUGAUAGCUUGCUAUCAGGCGUCGAGCGGCGGACGGGUGAGUAAUACUUAGGAAUCUACCUAGUAGUGGGGGAUAGCUCGGGCAAACUCGAAUUAAUACCGCAUACGACCUACGGGCAGAAAGGGGGCAACUUGUUGCUCUCGCUAUUAGAUGAGCCUAAGUCGGAUUAGCUAGAUGGUGGGGUAAAGGCCUACCAUGGCGACGAUCUGUAGCUGGUCUGAGAGGAUGAUCAGCCACACCGGGACUGAGACACGGCCCGGACUCCUACGGGAGGCAGCAUGUGGGGAAUAUUGGACAAUGGGGGCAACCCUGAUCCAGCCAUGCCGCGUGUGUGAAGAAGGCCUUUUGGUUGUAAAGCACUUUAAGCAGUGAAGAAGACUCCAUGGUUAAUACCCAUGGACGAUGACAUUAGCUGCAGAAUAAGCACCGGCUAACUCUGUGCCAGCAGCCGCGGUANUACAGAGGGUGCNAGCGUUAAUCGGAAUUACUGGGCGUAAAGCGAGCGUAGGUGGCUUGAUAAGUCAGAUGUG
RNAcentral lists this ribosomal RNA (539 nucleotides) under uncultured Psychrobacter sp. RNAcentral's name for it is "bacterial SSU rRNA". It matches the Rfam family "Bacterial small subunit ribosomal RNA", at positions 66 to 596 of the family's 1533-position model. The record is from RNAcentral. Lineage: Bacteria; Pseudomonadati; Pseudomonadota; Gammaproteobacteria; Moraxellales; Moraxellaceae.